Molecule: ribosomal RNA, 490 nt
Filed under: uncultured bacterium
Lineage: Bacteria
Description: partial 16S ribosomal RNA
Rfam family: Bacterial small subunit ribosomal RNA
Source: RNAcentral
AGUGAACGCUGGCGGUAGGCCUAACACAUGCAAGUCGAACGGCAGCACAGUAAGAGCUUGCUCUUACGGGUGGCGAGUGGCGGACGGGUGAGGAAUACAUCGGAAUCUACUUUUUCGUGGGGGAUAACGUAGGGAAACUUACGCUAUACCGCAUACGACCUACGGGUGAAAGCAGGGGAUCUUCGGACCUUGCGCGAUUGAAUGAGCCGAUGUCGGAUUAGCUAGUUGGCGGGGUAAAGGCCCACCAAGGCGACGAUCCGUAGCUGGUCUGAGAGGAUGAUCAGCCACACUGGAACUGAGACACGGUCCAGACUCCUACGGGAGGCAGCAGUGGGGAAUAUUGGACAAUGGGCGCAAGCCUGAUCCAGCCAUACCGCGUGGGUGAAGAAGGCCUUCGGGUUGUAAAGCCCUUUUGUUGGGAAAGAAAAGCAGCAGGUUAAUACCCCGCUGUUCUGACGGUACCCAAAGAAUAAGCACCGGCUAACUUCGU